RNAcentral lists this ribosomal RNA (819 nucleotides) under Phoma herbarum. Its description in RNAcentral is "eukaryotic LSU rRNA". It matches the Rfam family "Eukaryotic large subunit ribosomal RNA", at positions 1 to 793 of the family's 3401-position model. The record is from RNAcentral. Lineage: Eukaryota; Fungi; Ascomycota; Dothideomycetes; Pleosporales; Didymellaceae.
UUCGUGCCUCGCGGAUCGGCUCCCAGAAGCUAAAUCUCACAUUUUUGACCUCGAAUCAGGUAGGGAUACCCGCUGAACUUAAGCAUAUCAAUAAGCGGAGGAAAAGAAACCAACAGGGAUUGCCCUAGUAACGGCGAGUGAAGCGGCAACAGCUCAAAUUUGAAAUCUGGCCCUCUCAGGGUCCGAGUUGUAAUUUGCAGAGGGUGCUUUGGCGAUGGCUGUGGUCUAAGUUCCUUGGAACAGGACGUCACAGAGGGUGAGAAUCCCGUACGUGGCCGCCAGCCUCCGCCGUGUAAAGCCCCUUCGACGAGUCGAGUUGUUUGGGAAUGCAGCUCUAAAUGGGAGGUAAAUUCCUUCUAAAGCUAAAUACUGGCCAGAGACCGAUAGCGCACAAGUAGAGUGAUCGAAAGAUGAAAAGCACUUUGGAAAGAGAGUCAAAAAGCACGUGAAAUUGUUGAAAGGGAAGCGCUUGCAGCCAGACAUGCCUGUAGUUGCUCACCGGGGCUCUUGCCCUGGGCACUCUUCUACGGGCAGGCCAGCAUCAGUCCGGGCGGUUGGAUAAAUGCCUGCUACAUGUACCUCUCUUCGGGGAGGACUUAUAGGGUAGGCGACAUACAGCCAGCCUGGACUGAGGUCCGCGCAUCUGCUAGGAUGCUGGCGUAAUGGCUGUAAGCGGCCCGUCUUGAAACACGGACCAAGGAGUCUAACAUCUAUGCGAGUGUUUGGGUGUAAAGCCCGAGCGCGGAAUGAAAGUGAACGGAGGUGGGAACCCCUCGGGGUGCACCAUCGACCGAUCCUGAUGUCUUCGGAUGGAUUUGA